This 1129-nucleotide long non-coding RNA is filed under the name Mus musculus (house mouse). RNAcentral describes it as "long non-coding RNA chr2:129928378-129929507". Lineage: Eukaryota; Metazoa; Chordata; Mammalia; Rodentia; Muridae. The record is from RNAcentral.
GCUGCCAUGCCUUUGCUCUGACAUGAUGGACUCUGAUCUUCUGAAAUCAUAAGCUCAACACUCUGUUUUAUAAGUCACCUUGGCCAUGGUAUCUUAUUCCAGCAAUAGAAAAUAAAUCAAGGUAAGAGGUUCCCAGGAAGAGCAGAGCUGUCUCGUCAUAGAGCUUUUGGCUUCUUGUUGACUUCUUCUCCAGACAGAAAGAACGAACUUGUGCCAUAAACUCCACCAAUCCUUUUGACCUGAGGACAACUCCCCUCCAGGGAGGAACACUAAACACCAGUAACUACACCCACCCCUGAGACCCACCUAUGCCACAAGGUUCACAUGUCUUACACCUGCCUUUUUUCUCUAGGUAGAGAAACUCCCCACAUCAUAUAAUAAUCGAAACUAUAAAUGUACAAAACACACAAAGGAUAUUAAAAGCUGCAGGAAAAAAAAAGAACAAGUCUCAUACAAAGGUAGACUCAUCAGAAUAACAGCCAACUUUUGAAUGGAGACAGUGAAAGACAAAAAGGUUGGGCUAGUGUUCUAUGAGUUAUGAAAGACCACAGGGGCCAGCCCAGACUACAAUACUCACCAGAACUGUGAGUCAUAAUCAGUAGAGAAAGGAAAGCUCUCCUUUAGAAAACAGAUGAAAGGGAUGUAUAGCUACUGAGCUAGUUGUACAGAGAAGACCAGAAGGGAUAUUUAGAUCUGAAGAGAAGGUUAAACAUUCCCAAGGCACAAGGAACAAGUAACUCCAGAUUUUAAAAUGUCAAAUAGCACACCACCAAAAAAUCAAAAUGACAGGAAUUAAUAAUAUGCUAUUCAGUAGUUACCUAUAAUAUUAAUGGUUUUGGUUCUUCAGUGAAGAGACACCAGGCUAAUAAGUUGGAACAGGAAACAAUAUUUAUCUUUUUUUCUGCUUUCAAAGAAACAUAUGUCAUGACUAAUAGAAGACAUUUCUUUAAGUUAUUCCAAGCCAAUGGAACUAACAAACAACCAAGCAUACAUAUUCUACUUUCCAAUAAAACAAACUUCAAGACAGAUCUAACCAGAAGAGGUGGGAGGGGAUUUUAUAGUCAUUAAAGGAAAAAGUCACCAAAUAAGAUAUUACAAUCUUAAACAUAUAUACACCAAACUUAGGAGU